GACGAACGCUGGCGGCGUGCUUAACACAUGCAAGUCGAACGGAAAGGCCCUGCUUUUGUGGGGUGCUCGAGUGGCGAACGGGCGAGUAGCACGUGAGUAACCUGCCCUUGACUUUGGGAUAACUUCAGGAAACUGGGGCUAAUACCGGAUAGGAGCUCCUGCUGCAUGGUGGGGGUUGGAAAGUUUCGGCGGUUGGGGAUGGACUCGCGGCUUAUCAGCUUGUUGGUGGGGUAGUGGCUUACCAAGGCUUUGACGGGUAGCCGGCCUGAGAGGGUGACCGGCCACAUUGGGACUGAGAUACGGCCCAGACUCCUACGGGAGGCAGCAGUGGGGAAUAUUGCACAAUGGGCGGAAGCCUGAUGCAGCAACGCCGCGUGCGGGAUGACGGCCUUCGGGUUGUAAACCGCUUUCGCCUGUGACGAAGCGUGAGUGACGGUAAUGGGUAAAGAAGCACCGGCUAACUACGUG
This 468-nucleotide ribosomal RNA is filed under the name uncultured bacterium. Its description in RNAcentral is "partial 16S ribosomal RNA". It matches the Rfam family "Bacterial small subunit ribosomal RNA", at positions 28 to 507 of the family's 1533-position model. The record is from RNAcentral.